AGAGUUUGAUCCUGGCUCAGAUUGAACGCUGGCGGGAUGCCUUACACAUGCAAGUCGAACGGCAGCACGGGGGCAACCCUGGUGGCGAGUGGCGAACGGGUGAGUAAUAUAUCGGAACAUGCCCUGAAGUGGGGGAUAACGUAGCGAAAGUUACGCUAAUACCGCAUAUUCUGUGAGCAGGAAAGCAGGGGAUCUUAGGACCUUGCGCUUUAGGAGUGGCCGAUAUCGGAUUAGCUAGUUGGUGAGGUAAAAGCUCACCAAGGCGACGAUCCGUAGCGGGUCUGAGAGGAUGAUCCGCCACACUGGGACUGAGACACGGCCCAGACUCCUACGGGAGGCAGCAGUGGGGAAUUUUGGACAAUGGGCGCAAGCCUGAUCCAGCCAUGCCGCGUGAGUGAAGAAGGCCUUCGGGUUGUAAAGCUCUUUCGGUUGGAAGAAAUUGCUUCGGUUAAUACCCGGAGUAGAUGACGGUACCAGCAUAAGAAGCACCGGCUAACUACGUGCCAGCAGCCGCGGUAAUGCGUAGGGCGCGAGCGUUAAUCGGAAUUACUGGGCGUAAAGCGUGCGCAGGCGGUUGUAUAAGUCAGAUGUGAAAUCCCCGGGCUCAACCUGGGAACUGCAUUUGAGACUGUACGGCUAGAGUGUAGCAGAGGGGGGUAGAAUUCCACGUGUAGCAGUGAAAUGCGUAGAGAUGUGGAGGAAUACCGAUGGCGAAGGCAGCCCCCUGGGUUACUACUGACGCUCAUGCACGAAAGCGUGGGGAGCAAACAGGAUUAGAUACCCUGGUAGUCCACGCCCUAAACGAUGUCAACUAGGUGUUGGAAGGGUUAAACCUUUUAGUGCCGUAGCUAACGCGUGAAGUUGACCGCCUGGGGAGUACGGCCGCAAGGCUAAAACUCAAAGGAAUUGACGGGGACCCGCACAAGCGGUGGAUGAUGUGGAUUAAUUCGAUGCAACGCGAAAAACCUUACCUACCCUUGACAUGUCAGGAAUCCCGGAGAGAUUUGGGAGUGCUCGAAAGAGAACCUGAACACAGGUGCUGCAUGGCUGUCGCCAGCUCGUGUCGUGAGAUGUUGGGUUAAGUCCCGCGACGAGCGCAACCCUUGUCAUUAAUUGCCAUCAUUUGGUUGGGCAUUUUAAUGAGACUGCCGGUGACAAACCGGAGGAAGGUGGGGAUGACGUCAAGUCCUCAUGGCCCUUAUGGGUAGGGCUUCACACGUCAUACAAUGGUCGGUUCAGAGGGUUGCCAACCCGCGAGGGGGAGCCAAUCUCAGAAAGCCGAUCGUAGUCCGGAUUGGAGUCUGCAACUCGACUCCAUGAAGUCGGAAUCGCUAAUAAUCGCGGAUCAGCAUGUCGCGGUGAAUACGUUCCCGGGUCUUGUACACACCGCCCGUCACACCAUGGGAGCGGGUUCUGCCAGAAGUAGUUAGCCUAACC
Molecule: ribosomal RNA, 1437 nt
Filed under: metagenome
Description: bacterial SSU rRNA
Rfam family: Bacterial small subunit ribosomal RNA
Source: RNAcentral